CUGGUUAGAAAGUGAUAUUAGUAUUUAAUAGUAAAUAAGAAAGAAAAGGUUUAUACGCGGGAGAUAUAUGGUUUUGUGUUAAAAAGAAGUUGAUGGAAAUAAGUUGAGGUGCAAAAGAAGCUACGUUUUGUAGCUUAUUUUUCCGAGCUUUUCCUUCUUGAAUCAAGCGCUGCAAGUGUCUGCCAAACGGCCAUAAGAAAAGAGAAAGCCCACUUCUCAGCUUUUAAGUCCUGAAUCACAGCUCCCAAACACCCGCAUA
RNAcentral lists this long non-coding RNA (259 nucleotides) under Daucus carota (carrot). Its description in RNAcentral is "long non-coding RNA (DCAR_LNC003132)". The record is from RNAcentral. Lineage: Eukaryota; Viridiplantae; Streptophyta; Magnoliopsida; Apiales; Apiaceae.